Oryza meridionalis is the source of this 203-nucleotide non-coding RNA. The record is from Rfam. Lineage: Eukaryota; Viridiplantae; Streptophyta; Magnoliopsida; Poales; Poaceae.
UUUAAAUGUCGUCGUGGAUUUCUGUGAAUAACGUUUGACCGUCCAUUUUAUUUGAAAAUUUCUUACCAUUAGUAUUCUAUUAUCAUUAACAAUAAAAUACGAAUAAUAUUUUAUGUGUGACUUAUUUUUAAAAAAAAUUAUAAAUUUUUUAAAUAAAACGGACGGUUAAACAUUAGACACGGAGAACCACAUCUCCACCUAAA